CUUCUAAACUCUGAUUAAGUCAGGAGAGCUUCUUUUUUAUUGUCCCUUCCCACUUUUACUGGCUGUAUCCCUUAUUCCAUUUUCAUUGUCCCCUUCUGGAAAGCAGGAAAACAGUGCUUCUUUGUUGGUGCUCAGGGAGACCAGGUUUAAUUAAAGUCUGAAAAGCACAUUUGGAAAUGAGGAAUGUUAAGCCAGAAAUAAUUUGUGAAGUGUUUUACCCCAAUCUGCCUAUCACCAGUAAUUGAAAGAGAAGAAAAAAGUAAAAAAAUUAAGGUAAAGAAAUUAGGAAAAUAUGAAACCUAAGUCAGUUAUCAACCCUAAUCAGGAAGAGGAUUCACUGGACACCACUUGGUGGGAAGGAAGGAAAAGGACUGAAGAAAACAGACAGUGAGACUGAUCCAAAAACUCCCAUGUAUAUACAAACACAUGAAAAAUGUCACCAAAAUGUUCAUGGCAGUUACGUUACAGUUGCAUCAGGGAUGGGCUUUCAGUGCAUGACAUCUACAAGUGUACAAGAUGGUACUGGAUCCAGUGAGGAAGACAAAAAGUCUGGCAGGAAUGUGAGAGAGACUGGGAAGAAUUGGCUCAAUAUGAUGAUGGAGUUCAGAGAGCUAAAUGAAGUUCUGAGAAGUCACUGUUUAAAAUGGCUUAGCCAUGUGGAGGUGGAGCCCAGCAAAGAUGACUUCCACCCUACAAAGAGGUUAAGAAUCCUGUUUCAAAUGCUGGAUGGAUCCCCAUGAAUCUGUCACUUUAAGAAGGGAGAUUGCCCAGUGAAAGCAAUGGAAAGAAAAACAGUAUUAAAGGUGAGUAGAUUGGGAGAUAUCACCAGAUUUUCCUGUUCUCUU
Molecule: long non-coding RNA, 845 nt
Filed under: Papio anubis (olive baboon)
Lineage: Eukaryota; Metazoa; Chordata; Mammalia; Primates; Cercopithecidae
Description: lncRNA (ENSPANG00000040991.1)
Source: RNAcentral